This 454-nucleotide ribosomal RNA is filed under the name uncultured Peptococcaceae bacterium. RNAcentral's name for it is "bacterial SSU rRNA". It matches the Rfam family "Bacterial small subunit ribosomal RNA", at positions 927 to 1382 of the family's 1533-position model. The record is from RNAcentral. Lineage: Bacteria; Bacillati; Bacillota; Clostridia; Eubacteriales; Peptococcaceae.
AAGCGGUGGAGCAUGUGGUUUAAUUCGACGCAACGCGAAGAACCUUACCAGGUCUUGACAUCCCUUGACAUCCUCAGAGAUGAGGAGUUCUAUCUUCGGAUAGACAAGGAGACAGGUGGUGCAUGGUUGUCGUCCGCUCGUGUCGUGAGAUGUUGGGUUAAGUCCCGCAACGAGCGCAACCCUUAUUCUUAGUUGCCAGCACUAACGGUGGGCACUCUAAGGAGACUGCCGGUGACAACCGGAGGAGUGGGAUGACGUCAAUCAUCAUGCCCUUUAUGACCUGGGCUACACACGUGCUACAAUGGCCUAUACAAAGGGUAGCGAAGCUGUGAGGUGGAGCCAAUCCCAAAAAGUAGGUCUCAGUUCGGAUUGUAGGCUGCAACUCGCCUACAUGAAGUCGGAAUCGCUAGUAAUCGCGGAUCAGCAUGCCGCGGUGAAUACGUUCCCGGGCCUU